Molecule: ribosomal RNA, 433 nt
Filed under: uncultured bacterium
Lineage: Bacteria
Description: partial 16S ribosomal RNA
Rfam family: Bacterial small subunit ribosomal RNA
Source: RNAcentral
AACGAACGCUGGCGGCAUGCCUAACACAUGCAAGUCGAACGAGACCUUCGGGUCUAGUGGCGCACGGGUGCGUAACACGUGGGAAUCUGCCCUUUGCUUCGGAAUAACAGUUGGAAAUGACUGCUAAUACCGGAUGAUGUCGAAAGACCAAAGAUUUAUCGGCAAAGGAUGAGCCCGCGUAGGAUUAGGUAGUUGGUGGGGUAAAGGCCUACCAAGCCGACGAUCCUUAGCUGGUCUGAGAGGAUGAUCAGCCACACUGGGACUGAGACACGGCCCAGACUCCUACGGGAGGCAGCAGUGGGGAAUAUUGGACAAUGGGCGAAAGCCUGAUCCAGCAAUGCCGCGUGAGUGAUGAAGGCCUUAGGGUUGUAAAGCUCUUUUACCAGGGAUGAUAAUGACAGUACCUGGAGAAUAAGCUCCGGCUAACUCCGUG